GGACUCCCAUAUAAGGGAGAUACAUGUAUUUUUAUUUAGAAUCCAUGAUGAAGUCUUUCCCUGUACUCGUAUAUCAGCCACUCCUGAUCCUCAAUUAUCCUGGUUACAACACAUAAAGCAGUAGUUCUUCCUAAUACUCUCAGAGACGCCCUUCCAAGAGUUUUGCAACUUGAGAACUCUUGCACUCAAACUGGCUCCUUUAAAACAACCUGAAAUUACAACGGACAAAGAAGAGACAAACUUUGAUGCUGUUACCGGGAAAAUUUUUGAUAGAAGCUAUUAUCUUGCAUCUUUAAUUCACCUCAAUCACUGCUUGUUGCUU
RNAcentral lists this unclassified non-coding RNA (322 nucleotides) under Hevea brasiliensis (rubber tree). The record is from RNAcentral. Lineage: Eukaryota; Viridiplantae; Streptophyta; Magnoliopsida; Malpighiales; Euphorbiaceae.